AUGAAAAUUGAGGCUGGCAGUAUCACUUGUUUGGGCUUUUGGCGUGCACAUAUCUCGCUUAUAAAAAACAACCGCCAGAAGGCACCACCGGUUGAUGUGGCCAAGAUACAUGUUGAUGCAGGGCUGUUGCGACCGGCCGGAGGAGGUGCUGCAGCCGCCGUGUGCAGGGAUGACCACGGCGCCUUCCUUGAGAGCUCUGCACUGGUUGUACAAGGCGUCCUAGAUCCAGCUACACUUGAGGCGAUCGCGUGUAGGGAAGAUUGCAUUCUCCUUGGCAGAAGACCUGAACAUUCAGCGGAUGCUGAUUGCAUCUGA
Molecule: ribosomal RNA, 315 nt
Filed under: Triticum aestivum (bread wheat)
Lineage: Eukaryota; Viridiplantae; Streptophyta; Magnoliopsida; Poales; Poaceae
Description: partial small subunit ribosomal RNA
Source: RNAcentral